CCUACGGGAGGCAGCAGUAAGGAAUAUUGGUCAAUGGACGCAAGUCUGAACCAGCCAUGCCGCGUGAAGGAUUAAGGUCCUCUGGAUUGUAAACUUCUUUUAUCUGGGACGAAAAAAGGCGAUUCUUCGUCACUUGACGGUACCAGAUGAAUAAGCACCGGCUAACUCCGUGCCAGCAGCCGCGGUAAUACGGAGGGUGCAAGCGUUAUCCGGAUUCACUGGGUUUAAAGGGUGCGUAGGCGGGCGGGUAAGUCAGUGGUGAAAUCCUAGAGCUUGACUCUAGAACUGCCAUUGAUACUAUCUGUCUUGAAUAUUGUGGAGGUAAGCGGAAUAUGUCAUGUAGCGGUGAAAUGCUUAGAUAUGACAUAGAACACCUAUUGCGAAGGCAGCUUACUACGCAUAUAUUGACGCUGAGGCACGAAAGCGUGGGGAUCAAACAGGAUUAGAUACCCUGGUAGUCCACGCCCUAAACGAUGAUUACUCGACAUUUGUGAUACACUAUAAGUGUCUGAGCGAAAGCAUUAGAAUCCACCUGGAGUACGACGCAAGUUGAAACUCAAAUGAAUUGACGGCGNGAGAGNGCGAGGACGACGACGAGGGAGUAGG
RNAcentral lists this ribosomal RNA (606 nucleotides) under uncultured bacterium. RNAcentral's name for it is "bacterial SSU rRNA". It matches the Rfam family "Bacterial small subunit ribosomal RNA", at positions 338 to 951 of the family's 1533-position model. The record is from RNAcentral.